This 1347-nucleotide ribosomal RNA is filed under the name uncultured bacterium. RNAcentral's name for it is "partial 16S ribosomal RNA". It matches the Rfam family "Bacterial small subunit ribosomal RNA", at positions 28 to 1381 of the family's 1533-position model. The record is from RNAcentral.
GACGAACGCUGGCGGCGUGCUUAACACAUGCAAGUCGAACGGAAAGGCCCUGCUUUUGUGGGGUGCUCGAGUGGCGAACGGGUGAGUAACACGUGAGUAACCUGCCCUUGACUUUGGGAUAACUUCAGGAAACUGGGGCUAAUACCGGAUAGGAGCUCCUGCUGCAUGGUGGGGGUUGGAAAGUUUCGGCGGUUGGGGAUGGACUCGCGGCUUAUCAGCUUGUUGGUGGGGUAGUGGCUUACCAAGGCUUUGACGGGUAGCCGGCCUGAGAGGGUGACCGGCCACAUUGGGACUGAGAUACGGCCCAGACUCCUACGGGAGGCAGCAGUGGGGAAUAUUGCACAAUGGGCGGAAGCCUGAUGCAGCAACGCCGCGUGCGGGAUGACGGCCUUCGGGUUGUAAACCGCUUUCGCUUGUGACGAAGCGUGAGUGACGGUAAUGGGUAAAGAAGCACCGGCUAACUACGUGCCAGCAGCCGCGGUGAUACGUAGGGUGCGAGCGUUGUCCGGAUUUAUUGGGCGUAAAGGGCUCGUAGGUGGUUGAUCGCGUCGGAAGUGUAAUCUUGGGGCUUAACCCCUGAGCGUGCUUUCGAUACGGGUUGACUUGAGGAAGGUAGGGGAGAAUGGAAUUCCUGGUGGAGCGGUGGAAUGCGCAGAUAUCAGGAGGAACACCAGUGGCGAAGGCGGUUCUCUGGGCCUUUCCUGACGCUGAGGAGCGAAAGCGUGGGGAGCGAACAGGCUUAGAUACCCUGGUAGUCCACGCUGUAAACGGUGGGUACUAGGUGUGGGGUCCAUUCCACGGGUUCCGUGCCGUAGCUAACGCUUUAAGUACCCCGCCUGGGGAGUACGGCCGCAAGGCUAAAACUCAAAGGAAUUGACGGGGCCCCGCACAAGCGGCGGAGCAUGCGGAUUAAUUCGAUGCAACGCGUAGAACCUUACCUGGGUUUGACAUGGAUCGGGAGUGCUCAGAGAUGGGUGUGCCUCUUUUGGGGUCGGUUCACAGGUGGUGCAUGGCUGUCGUCAGCUCGUGUCGUGAGAUGUUGGGUUAAGUCCCGCAACGAGCGCAACCCUUGUUCACUGUUGCCAGCACGUUAUGGUGGGGACUCAGUGGAGACCGCCGGGGUCAACUCGGAGGAAGGUGGGGAUGACGUCAAGUCAUCAUGCCCCUUAUGUCCAGGGCUUCACGCAUGCUACAAUGGCUGGUACAGAGAGUGGCGAGCCUGUAAGGGUGAGCGAAUCUCGGAAAGCCGGUCUCAGUUCGGAUUGGGGUCUGCAACUCGACCUCAUGAAGUCGGAGUCGCUAGUAAUCGCAGAUCAGCAACGCUGCGGUGAAUACGUUCCCGGGGCU